Long non-coding RNA from Morone saxatilis (striped sea-bass), 1233 nucleotides. RefSeq lists it as uncharacterized. Lineage: Eukaryota; Metazoa; Chordata; Actinopteri; Moronidae. The transcript is spliced from 3 exons. The record is from RefSeq and is a predicted model, not a curated record.
AACACGGGGAGAACCGAGCCUCCAGGAAGAGCGCCAGGCUUUGACGAACCGUGUAAUUACAGCAACGACGUCCAUCAAGUGAUCCAAAAAGACUUUCUGCCCAUCAAGCUUACAUUGUGAAGCUUAAAAAAAGUAUACAAAUACUGUAAGAAUAAAAUAAUAAGGUGUAAAAGGAGGACUUGGGUCUGUGGAUGUGGAACCCAGAGGAAACAGCUGGUGUCGAAGUGUCUGUGGUGACAAAUCUUCCAUCAACCUGAUCUUAACCUCAGCAGACAGGUGGAGUUUACCAAACGUCACGGUGCUUAACCAGGUGAGUGAAGUGAUUUGGCCAGAUGAUGCAGUGACAGGGCGGUGACCUUUGGCUCCUCAGGAAGUGACCCAACAUUCUGAACGCGGCGUCCGAAGGAGUCGUAACCUCCUGCAGGAAAAAGCGCCGAUGUGGUCUGAAGGAGGCGACUGAUGUGUUCUCAAGGACGCAGCACAGAGAGACAGCUGUCAGCCUGCACUGAGGAGGAAAUCUGGAGAAACCUGAAUCAUUGUAAACACACCUGAGCGUGCAGUCUGAUUCUCCACGCCCACUCAGGUUACCGCCACCGUACCCUGCGGCCCCGCCCAACCCGCAGCCCCCCGAGGUGCAGCGAACAAGAGCUUCAGCAGAUACCCUGAUGGGUCUUGUUCCUGCUGUUCCUGGUUGGUUCGAGCCUGGGGACCCCCCACCCUGCCCUGGCUGAGUGCCGUGCCGCGGAGGGCAGGACGGCGCCUCGGCUACUUAGAGGCCAAGAUUCGCCGGGUUCACAGCUUCGUCUGUGAGUGGAAAACAGGAUUACAUCCUGCGGUUUGUCUAAAUCCACUGACCCGGGGAGAAGAAAAGCUCUCACUGUGGUUCUCUGAGGCUGAUGUCUGAUUAAGAGCCUGAAACACCAUUACAGAACAUUUGAGGUAUUCAGCUGCCAGAGAGCAGAGCGACGGGCACUGACUGCAGCAGGUGGAGCUUUACGAGGCUGAAACUCAAACAUUUUAAUGAUAUAAACAGUUCAAAGUAUCAACAAACAGAAAUAGGACCUUGUUUUGAUAAAGAAAAAUAAAAUAUAAAAGCAGUAUUAUAAAUAUUUUACAAUAUUUAGAGAAGGUUUCUCAUUAUAAUCACUUAUAGAAUUCUUUUUUCCUCCAUCACAUUGGCAUAAAUGGGCUUCCAUACAUUUCUCAGUCUGAGUUUGGUGGGUUGAGCUGGAC